Molecule: ribosomal RNA, 253 nt
Filed under: uncultured bacterium
Lineage: Bacteria
Description: partial 16S ribosomal RNA
Rfam family: Bacterial small subunit ribosomal RNA
Source: RNAcentral
UACGUAGGGUGCAAGCGUUGUCCGGAAUUAUUGGGCGUAAAGAGCUCGUAGGCGGCUUGUCGCGUCGGCUGUGAAAACCUGGGGCUCAACCCCGGGCCUGCAGCCGAUACGGGCAGGCUAGAAUUCGGUAGGGGAGACUGGAAUUCCUGGUGUAGCGGUGAAAUGCGCAGAUAUCAGGAGGAACACCGGUGGCGAAGGCGGGUCUCUGGGCCGAUAUUGACGCUGAGGAGCGAAAGCGUGGGGAGCGAACAGG